Molecule: ribosomal RNA, 253 nt
Filed under: uncultured bacterium
Lineage: Bacteria
Description: partial 16S ribosomal RNA
Rfam family: Bacterial small subunit ribosomal RNA
Source: RNAcentral
GACGUAGGGGGCCAGCGUUGCUCGGAAUUACUGGGUGUAAAGGGUUCGUAGGCGGUGUGGCAAGUCGGGAGUGAAAUCUCUGGGCUCAACCCAGAGUCUGCUUCCGAAACUGCUGUGCUUGAGUGUGGGAGAGGCGCGUGGAAUUGCAGGUGUAGCGGUGAAAUGCGUAGAUAUCGGGAGGAAUACCGGUGGCGAAGGCGACUCUCUGGACGGCAACUGACGCUGAGGCACGAAAGCGUGGGGAGCAAACAGG